RNAcentral lists this ribosomal RNA (443 nucleotides) under uncultured Actinomycetes bacterium. RNAcentral describes it as "bacterial SSU rRNA". It matches the Rfam family "Bacterial small subunit ribosomal RNA", at positions 917 to 1359 of the family's 1533-position model. The record is from RNAcentral. Lineage: Bacteria; Bacillati; Actinomycetota; Actinomycetes.
GGACCCGCACAAGCGGUGGAGCAUGCGGAUUAAUUCGAUGCAACGCGAAGAACCUUACCAAGGCUUGACAUAUAGUGGACGAGUAUCGAGAUAUACUUUCCUUUAUGGCCGCUAUACAGAUGGUGCAUGGCUGUCGUCAGCUCGUGUCGUGAGAUGUUAGGUUAAGUCCUUUAACGAGCGCAACCCUCGUCGUAUGUUAUUAACAGGUUAUGCUGAAAACUCAUGCGAGACCGCCAGGGUCAACCUGGAUGAAGGUGGGGAUGACGUCAAGUCAUCAUGCCUCUUACGUCUUGGGCUUCACGCGUGCUACAAUGGGCAGUACAAAGAGUUGCGAUACCGCAAAGGUGGAGCUAAUCUCAAAAAGCUGUUCUCAGUUCGGAUUGGGGUCUGCAACUCGACCCCAUGAAGUUGGAAUCGCUAGUAAUCGCGAAUCAGCAAUGUCG